UAUCCACCCACAGGCGCCGCCACCUCUCCCUCUCUCCUUUGGCUCUCGAUUUAGAUUCGCCACCCACCGGCGCCCUCACAUCUCCCCGCCGGUGUCCCCCAAGCCGCCGUCCUCCCACCGUCUCCUCGCAAAGGCCAUAGGCUUUGCCGGUGUGGGAUAGGACGAUUUCUUCCUCACGUUGCUUCUGCUCGGCCGUGCGUGAGGAGAUGCCAUGGACGCUGAUGCACCUGCACCACGAACUCUAUGCAAGGAGAGGAGUGGGGGUGCUGCAGGGAGGAAAGGGAAGAAUGGGAUGCACCUGAGGAGCGAGGGUUUGCCAUCUUGGUUCCUGCUCGACCAUGUUGCUUAUGGAUGGUGAGAAGAAGGAAGGUGCUGCAAGUGCCAGGGGAAGGGGUCGGAUGCUGCUGAAACCCUUGCUACCAAGCACCUACGGGUGAAAUGGACGUGAACCUUCAGAAAUCAAAUGUUUGGCACCGGCGCGGCUCCGGUGCCUGCUGGAUGGUGCUCCUGGAAUAAGACGGCGUGGAGGCCCUCCUCUCGCAGGAUGUGCUGAUGCGGCGCAUGCAGCAGCAUGUUUGGGACGAGCGCGAGCGCGAUGGCCUUGUCCCGACGAUGACGGCGGCGAACAUCGGUGCUCCUUCUCGUCCUCUAUCUCCAAGGACGCGCGCCGGUACAGCUCGGGCAACCCUGCCCCGAACGCCGACCACCCAUCUGGCAAUGUACAGGUCGUCCUCACGCGUGUGGAUUCGCCUCCUGCUGGACUGAACACUUGCAAUGUGGACAUGCCAAACGCAGAAACAAGCACACUGGCGUAUCUGUACCGGCAAGGUCUCUUUUCACACCAUCUAGUCCAAAACCAAAAGCUGUUGUAUUCUCUGAUGAACUUCAAGGCAACGAAAAUGCAGCAUAUAUAUGCAAGCUUCCUUGGGUACCUGCACAAGAUAUACAUGACAUGCAAGCAGAGCCAUAUUAAUAUAGGUUUGGCAGUUAAUCCAUGUUACUGGAGACUGAAGUUUUUUAGCAGGAAUUACUUGGGUCUGGAAGCUGCCUUCAAUCGUUGUUGUUGGAGAUUAAAAUUAGCUAGCAGUGCAUUUUCUUUUAAGUCAUGUAACUCACUCUUUACAAAAAAAACUUAUAGCGCUUUCUAGAUGUGCUUGGGAUGUUUUGAUAUUAGCUUUGCUUUUUCAAAUUAGAUUUGAUUGUUGGAAAUUUGUAUUGUCAUGUAAACUAUUGCUAUUUUUUGAAGGAAUAUAGUUUGGUUGUCUU
This is a long non-coding RNA of Triticum dicoccoides, 1266 nucleotides long. RefSeq lists it as uncharacterized. NCBI's taxonomy places the organism in Eukaryota, Viridiplantae, Streptophyta, Magnoliopsida, Poales, Poaceae. The transcript has 6 exons. The record is from RefSeq and is a predicted model, not a curated record.